Molecule: ribosomal RNA, 453 nt
Filed under: uncultured bacterium
Lineage: Bacteria
Description: bacterial SSU rRNA
Rfam family: Bacterial small subunit ribosomal RNA
Source: RNAcentral
UACGGGAGGAGCAGUGGGGAAUAUUGCACAAUGGGCGCAAGCCUGAUGCAGCCAUGCCGCGUGUAUGAAAAAGGCCUUCGGGUUGUAAAGUACUUUCAGUCGUGAGGAAGGUGUUAAGGUUAAUAACCUUAGCAAUUGACGUUAGCGACAGAAGAAGCACCGGCUAACUCCGUGCCAGCAGCCGCGGUAAUACGGAGGGUGCGAGCGUUAAUCGGAAUUACUGGGCGUAAAGGGCACGCAGGCGGUUAAUUAAGUUGGAUGUGAAAUCCCCGGGCUUAACCUGGGAAUGGCAUUCAAGACUGGUUAGCUAGAGUCUUGUAGAGGGGGUAGAAUUCCAUGUGUAGCGGUGAAAUGCGUAGAGAUGUGGAGGAAUACCGGUGGCGAAGGCGGCCCCUGGACAAAGACUGACGCUCAUGUGCGAAAGCGUGGGGAGCAAAACAGGGAUUAGAUACC